This 2828-nucleotide long non-coding RNA is filed under the name Homo sapiens (human). Its description in RNAcentral is "HSALNT0309919". Lineage: Eukaryota; Metazoa; Chordata; Mammalia; Primates; Hominidae. The record is from RNAcentral.
GUCAGAGGCCACCAGGCAGCUAUCGUGAGACCAAAGGCAGUAGUCAGCUCAGGCAAGCCGGUUUCCUUAUUUAUGUCAAAUUCCUCAGUCUUGGGUCUCCUUAUCUUUUAAAUAAGGAGUUAGAAUAGAAUUUGAGGGCUGUUCACUCAGGCAUCCAUGGUGGCUGCAGCAUAAGGAGUGUGUGGUGUCAGGAUGGGAAGGGCAACAUGGAGACUGCAUGGCCAUUGACGUCUGAAAGUCUCUGGUUGCCAAAAAGAAUCUAUCUACAACAGCAUUCAUCCUGACAGCAGCCAACAGGCAGCCUAGACCUGGCAUGCCACAGCUCCUCUAGGCUCUGAACCCCUCUCAGCUGAGCCUGGUAGAUGCCAGCUGACCGGCUGCAGCCCCUGAGUAGAGGUUGGCUGUCCUAGCAAUAGAGUAGGGCGGGGGCACAGCAGACAUGGGACCAUCAUCUGGAUUCCUAGACGUGCAACUGCAAGUUUGGGAUGUGAUGGAGAACGAGCUGCACAAGUCUCUGGGCUCCUGUAAAAGAUUGGUUGCAGAAAUGUCCUCAGAGUUGUUGGGAGGAUUCAAUAGAAGAUGCAUGCAAAGCACCUGGCUGAAUGCCCAGAGCCCUGCAGACACUCAGGAAUGAGUAACCAUGCAGAUUUUCUACGCCUUUAGACCAGAUAUUCUAAGAAACUUCCUGCUAUAGAUUAACUAGAUCCUGAUUGUGUUUUUCAUUUCCAGGCUUAGAAGAAAUAAAGGAAAUAUCCCAGGAGCAAAAACAAAACACACACAUGCUCCUCUCAAGAGUCACUGGCAUCCCAGCUGAAAAGUCAGCUCUACACCUAUGGGACCUAUGGGCCUGUUUCUGAGCUCUGUUUUGUCUCUUUGGUCUGAGUGUCUAUCUGAGGCCAAUACCACAGUACCAAAUGCGAUUGCUUUAGAGGAAGUCUUGAAAUCAGAUGAGGCUGAAGGCUGUUGAAUUAUGAGAAAGCGUCAUUUGAAGAGAUGGAUGCCUGUGACCCCGCCAGGCUCUGCAGACCUGGAGGCGGCUCCAGAUCUGGGGUGUGCGGCGCAUUGUGUGUCCAACAGGGAGCAUAACUUUCGCAUCUCAGUCCUUCUCCAUUUCCUGAGGCUUCUUCAGGCUCUGGUGUGUGGUCCACCCUGGAGAAUGUCUCGCUCUCCUCUCGAGAGGAACGUGGCUGCGGCUCUGCGUGGACCGUUUGGCAGAGGCUCAUAUGCUGGAUCCACUGGUUGGUUCACGGGGUUCAUUCCUGUCUGUUGAUCUUCUACCUAGUGGCUCCAUCACUCAUUCAAGCCACCCGAUGUCCCUUUUGAUUAUUGUUUACACGGUUCGUCUUUUUCCACCUUUCCCCGUUGGACUCUGACGCGUCUCUGCUGUGGGAAGCGCAUCGCCGCCCCGGCGUCUCUCUCCGCUGCGGGGAGCCCAUCGCGGCCCCGGCGUCUCUCUCCGCUGCGGGGAGCGCAUCGCGGCCCCGGCGUCUCUCUCCGCUGCGGGGAGCCCAUCGCCGCCCCGGCGUCUCUCUCCGCUGCGGGGAGCCCAUCGCCGCCCCGGCGUCUCUCUCCGCUGCGGGGAGCCCAUCGCGGCCCCGGCGUCUCUCUCCGCUGCGGGGAGCCCAUCGCGGCCCCGGCGUCUCUCUCCGCUGCGGGGAGCCCAUCGCGGCCCCGGCGUCUCUCUCCGCUGCGGGGAGCCCAUCGCCGCCCCGGCGUCUCUCUCCGCUGCGGGGAGCCCAUCGCCGCCCCGGCGUCUCUCUCCGCUGCGGGGAGCCCAUCGCCGCCCCGGCGUCUCUCUCCGCUGCGGGGAGCCCAUCGCCGCCCCGGCGUCUCUCUCCGCUGCGGGGAGCCCAUCGCGGCCCCGGCGUCUCUCUCCGCUGCGGGGAGCCCAUCGCCGCCCCGGCGUCUCUCUCCGCUGCGGGGAGCCCAUCGCCGCCCCGGCGUCUGUCUCCGCUGCGGGGAGCCCAUCGCCGCCCCGGCGUCUGUCUCCGCUGCGGGGAGCCCAUCGCCGCCCCGGCGUCUGUCUCCGCUGCGGGGAGCCCAUCGCCGCCCCGGCGUCUGUCUCCGCUGCGGGGAGCCCAUCGCCGCCCCGGCGUCUGUCUCCGCUGCGGGGAGCCCAUCGCCGCCCCGGCGUCUGUCUCCGCUGCGGGGAGCCCAUCGCCGCCCCGGCGUCUGUCUCCGCUGCGGGGAGCCCAUCGCCGCCCCGGCGUCUGUCUCCGCUGCGGGGAGCCCAUCGCCGCCCCGGCGUCUGUCUCCGCUGCGGGGAGCCCAUCGCGGCUCUGGCGUCUCUCUCCGCUGCGGGGAGCCCAUCGCCGCCCCGGCGUCUCUCUCCGCUGCGGGGAGCCCAUCGCGGCUCUGGCGUCUCUCUCCGCUGCGGGGAGCCCAUCGCCGCCCCGGCGUCUCUCUCCGCUGUGGGAAGCGCAUCGCCGCCCCGGCAUCUCUCUCCGCUGCGGGAAGCCCAUCUCUGGGCUGCGCUGCUUCCUGUUCUGCCGCCCUUUGCUUUCUGGCCGCGAUUCCACUGAAUGUGAUCACUGAAAAGGUGGGAUUUGCGUCCACUGUUUUACCAGUUGUUUUCUCUAUGGCUUGUAUCUGUUUUGUUUCUUUACUCUUCUUUUACUGCCUACUUUUAUGUUAAACAGAUAUUUCAUUUAUACAAUUUUAAUUAUUUUGAUGUUUCUUUUACUCCUUUUUAAUUUACUUGCUCAGUGGUUGUUCUGGAGAAUGUAAUUAAAAUCGUAUCUUAAAGCAAACUACUGCAAAUUAAUACCAAAUUAAUCUCCAUAGUAUGCAAUAAUGCGGUUAUUAAACAAAAUUGGUUAACAACUUUG